This 254-nucleotide ribosomal RNA is filed under the name uncultured bacterium. Its description in RNAcentral is "partial 16S ribosomal RNA". It matches the Rfam family "Bacterial small subunit ribosomal RNA", at positions 524 to 776 of the family's 1533-position model. The record is from RNAcentral.
UACGUAGGGGGGCAAGCGUUGUCCGGAAUCAUUGGGCGUAAAGAGCGCGUAGGCGGUCCGGUAAGUCGGUUGUGAAAACUGGGGGCUCAACCCUCAGAGGCCGACCGAUACUGUCGGGCUAGAGUCCGGAAGAGGCGAGUGGAAUUCCUGGUGUAGCGGUGAAAUGCGCAGAUAUCAGGAGGAACACCAAUGGCGAAGGCAGCUCGCUGGGACGGUACUGACGCUGAGGCGCGAAAGCGUGGGGAGCAAACAGG